RNAcentral lists this long non-coding RNA (203 nucleotides) under Manihot esculenta (cassava). RNAcentral's name for it is "long non-coding RNA (MESC_LNC003306)". Lineage: Eukaryota; Viridiplantae; Streptophyta; Magnoliopsida; Malpighiales; Euphorbiaceae. The record is from RNAcentral.
UCUCUAUAGUUUCAGUCAACCCCUCAAAAGUCUUAUAAAUCCUUCUAAACUCACCACCAACUGACUUUUUGAAGAGCUUAUAAUCACUAGCCAUGUCCCAUUCACUUUCAUCAUCACUAUCCACCAUAUUUUUGUAUUUACUCAUCCUGCCUUAAAUCAAUAAAGAACAAAGAGAACUAGCAAAUAUGGUGUUAGAAAUAAAA